UCAUCCUGCCCUCCCAGGUGCUGGGGGCCCAGUCAGGAGGGGCUCAGGUCUGCAGAGGCCGUCUCUCACCCAGCCCCUGUUUCGUUCGGCGUUGCGGGCUCAGGCCGCUGCCUCUGUCACAGACCUGCACACAGAACCCCAGCUGGCUUUGAGAGGACUCCAGGUGUCUCCGCCGUGUCUACACCUGGUUUGUGUUAUCUACCCAGAACGCAAGAAUAUUCAGAGGCACUCUGCAGCCCACAGGGUAAGACCCAAACUCCAACAUGAUGCGUGAGCCCUUGAUGCCAGGUGCCGGAGCACCUUUGCUGCCUGUGUCUACUGAGCCUCUGCCCCUGCACCCAGCCACCUUCACACACACACUCCUGCUGUGCAGCACCUGCCUCUGGAAUUGCUCUGCCCCCGUCUUUACCACUAAAUCUGCAGCGUCUAUUGCUGGCCAUACUCUCC
This 447-nucleotide long non-coding RNA is filed under the name Cercocebus atys (sooty mangabey). RNAcentral describes it as "lncRNA (ENSCATG00000045880.1)". The record is from RNAcentral. Lineage: Eukaryota; Metazoa; Chordata; Mammalia; Primates; Cercopithecidae.